This 23-nucleotide microRNA is filed under the name Caenorhabditis briggsae. Lineage: Eukaryota; Metazoa; Nematoda; Chromadorea; Rhabditida; Rhabditidae. The record is from RNAcentral.
CAUGACACUGAAGCGUGUACGGA